CCUGCUCCGUCGCCCCAGUGUUCAGACUACCUGUUCAGGACAAUGCUGUUGUACAGUAGUCUGCACAUUGGUUAGACUGGGCAAGGGAA
Molecule: microRNA precursor, 89 nt
Filed under: Alligator mississippiensis (American alligator)
Lineage: Eukaryota; Metazoa; Chordata; Crocodylia; Alligatoridae
Description: microRNA ami-mir-199 precursor (ami-mir-199-2)
Gene: ami-mir-199-2
Rfam family: mir-199 microRNA precursor family (bases 4-83)
About the family: This family consists of the microRNA (miRNA) precursor mir-199 which appears to be specific to humans.
Source: miRBase by way of RNAcentral